RNAcentral lists this ribosomal RNA (253 nucleotides) under uncultured bacterium. RNAcentral describes it as "partial 16S ribosomal RNA". It matches the Rfam family "Bacterial small subunit ribosomal RNA", at positions 524 to 776 of the family's 1533-position model. The record is from RNAcentral.
UACGAAGGGGGCGAGCGUUGUUCGGAUUUACUGGGCGUAAAGGGCGCGUAGGCGGCGCUCCAAGUUAGGCGUGAAAGCCCCGGGCUCAACCUGGGAAUUGCGCUUAAGACUGGAGUGCUCGAGUGCGGAAGAGGUGAGUGGAAUUCCCAGUGUAGAGGUGAAAUUCGUAGAUAUUGGGAAGAACACCAGUGGCGAAGGCGGCUCACUGGUCCGCAACUGACGCUGAGGCGCGAAAGCGUGGGGAGCAAACAGG